Molecule: ribosomal RNA, 468 nt
Filed under: uncultured bacterium
Lineage: Bacteria
Description: partial 16S ribosomal RNA
Rfam family: Bacterial small subunit ribosomal RNA
Source: RNAcentral
GACGAACGCUGGCGGCGUGCUUAACACAUGCAAGUCGAACGGAAAGGCCCUGCUUUCGUGGGGUGCUCGAGUGGCGAACGGGUGAGUAACACGUGAGUAACCUGCCCUUGACUUUGGGAUAACUUCAGGAAACUGGGGCUACUACCGGAUAGGAGCUCCUGCUGCAUGGUGGGGGUUGGAAAGUUUCGGCGGUUGGGGAUGGACUCGCGGCUUAUCAGCUUGUUGGUGGGGUAGUGGCUUACCAAGGCUUUGACGGGUAGCCGGCCUGAGAGGGUGGCCGGCCACAUUGGGACUGAGAUACGGACCAGACUCCUACGGGGGGCAGCAGUGGGGAAUAUUGCCCAAUGGGCGGAAGCCUGAUGCAGCAACGCCGCGUGCGGGAUGACGGCCUUCGGGUUGUAAACCGCUUUCGCCUGUGACGAAGCGUGAGUGACGGUAAUGGGUAAAGAAGCACCGGCUAACUACGUG